GAUGAACGCUGGCGGCGUGCUUAACACAUGCAAGUCGAACGAGAAAUGUAGACGGAAACCUUCGGGCGGAAGCCUUCAUUUCGAGUGGCGGACGGGUGAGUAACGCGUGGGUAACCUGCCUCAUACAGGGGGAUAACAGUUGGAAACGACUGUUAAUACCGCAUAAGACCACAGCAUCGCAUGAUGCGGGGGUAAAAACUCCGGUGGUAAGAGAUGGACCCGCGUUCGAUUAGCCAGUUGGCGGGGUAACGGCCCACCAAAGCGACGAUCGAUAGCCGAUCUGAGAGGAUGACCGGCCACAUUGGGACUGAGACACGGCCCAAACUCCUACGGGAGGCAGCAGUGGGGAAUAUUGCACAAUGGGGGAAACCCUGAUGCAGCGACGCCGCGUGAGUGAAGAAGUACUUCGGUAUGUAAAGCUCUAUCAGCAGGGAAGAAAAUGACGGUACCUGAGUAAGAAGCCCCGGCUAACUACGUG
RNAcentral lists this ribosomal RNA (478 nucleotides) under uncultured bacterium. RNAcentral describes it as "partial 16S ribosomal RNA". It matches the Rfam family "Bacterial small subunit ribosomal RNA", at positions 28 to 507 of the family's 1533-position model. The record is from RNAcentral.